CGGACGGGUGAGUAAUGUCUGGGAAACUGCCUGAUGGAGGGGGGUAACUACUGGAAACGGUAGCUAAUACCGCAUAACGUCGCAAGACCAAAGAGGGGGACCUUCGGGCCUCUUGCCAUCGGAUGUGCCCAGAUGGGAUUAGCUAGUAGGUGGGGUAACGGCUCACCUAGGCGACGAUCCCUAGCUGGUCUGAGAGGAUGCCAGCCACACUGGAACUGAGACACGGUCCAG
RNAcentral lists this ribosomal RNA (231 nucleotides) under uncultured bacterium. RNAcentral describes it as "partial 16S ribosomal RNA". It matches the Rfam family "Bacterial small subunit ribosomal RNA", at positions 99 to 334 of the family's 1533-position model. The record is from RNAcentral.